RNAcentral lists this unclassified non-coding RNA (315 nucleotides) under uncultured fungus. RNAcentral's name for it is "partial contains small subunit ribosomal RNA, internal transcribed spacer 1, and 5.8S ribosomal RNA". The stretch from base 1 to 73 matches the Rfam family "Eukaryotic small subunit ribosomal RNA", at positions 1759 to 1831 of the family's 1831-position model. Lineage: Eukaryota; Fungi. The record is from RNAcentral.
GCAAACUUGGUCAUUUAGAGGAAGUAAAAGUCGUAACAAGGUUUCCGUAGGUGAACCUGCGGAAGGAUCAUUCAAAAUAAAAGUGAAAAUAUAUAUAUGGCACUUUUAAAAAAAAAUCCAUAUCCACCUUGUGUGCAAUGUAUUUAUGAAGGAGAGAGAAGGAAAUACUCUUUUUCUCUCUUUUGUAUUUCUAUAUCAACACCUUGAAACCUGUUUGUCUGAAACUAAUUAUUAUUCUUUUUUGAAUAAACUUAAUUCAAAAAUAUAACUUUCAACAACGGAUCUCUUGGCUCUCGCAUCGAUGAAGAACGCAGC